ACAGCAGGUCAUCUUAUCGCGGUUUGUAUUUUGCAAAACGAGGAAAGUCCGGACACCAUAGUGCAACAUAGCGGGUAAUACCCGUCACUCUAGUUCGCUGGAGGAGGACAAGUGCAACAGAAAGCAGGUACAGGUAAUGCUGUAGUGAAACCAGGUAAACUCUAUGUGGUGAAACGCCAUGUAUAUCAGCUUUAAGAGCUGCACGCUCGUGCUGAAGGGUAGGCGGUUUGAGCUUUUAGGUAACUAAAAGUCUAGAUAAAUGAUAAGAAUUCUGAAGUGAUUUCGGAAGACAGAAUCCGGCUUACGACCUGCUUUUUUA
This 319-nucleotide RNase P RNA is filed under the name Paracellulophaga tyrosinoxydans. RNAcentral describes it as "Cellulophaga tyrosinoxydans Bacterial RNase P class A". It matches the Rfam family "Bacterial RNase P class A". Rfam says of the family: Ribonuclease P (RNase P) is a ubiquitous endoribonuclease, found in archaea, bacteria and eukarya as well as chloroplasts and mitochondria. Its best characterised activity is the generation of mature 5'-ends of tRNAs by cleaving the 5'-leader elements of precursor-tRNAs. The record is from Rfam by way of RNAcentral. Lineage: Bacteria; Pseudomonadati; Bacteroidota; Flavobacteriia; Flavobacteriales; Flavobacteriaceae.